Tupaia belangeri chinensis (Chinese tree shrew) is the source of this 411-nucleotide long non-coding RNA. RefSeq lists it as uncharacterized. Lineage: Eukaryota; Metazoa; Chordata; Mammalia; Scandentia; Tupaiidae. The record is from RefSeq and is a predicted model, not a curated record. The transcript has 4 exons.
GGCUGAGCUCCUUACUCCCCGGACUUCCUCUGUCACCUGCUCUCAGUGAGGACACACAGCAUGAGAUUAGGACGUGUCACGAACUCAGUGGGGAACAGAAGCCAGAAGAGUCAAGCAAGUUUCCUAAGGCCACCCAGAGAAAAGCAAUAAUACUGACUUCGCGAGGUCUGCGUGAAGAGGAAUAUGUACGUUAUGCAUUGAAUGCAUUCCUCAUACGCAGUGGACACUCCAACUGGGACCAACGACUAUUCAUCUUGAGCAGCAGCUUCGGGAUGGCCUGUGAUUGUACUGACCUGGCAAGCAUGGCUCACGACAGCUCACAAUAGUCCCUGAAAUUCAUUCACCUCACUGGAUGUUCAGUCUGAAAGCCAAAUUUUCAGCCUUGUUUAUAACAAUGAUGAAAACAUGAAG